This 1551-nucleotide long non-coding RNA is filed under the name Macaca fascicularis (crab-eating macaque). RNAcentral describes it as "lncRNA (ENSMFAG00000060132.1)". The record is from RNAcentral. Lineage: Eukaryota; Metazoa; Chordata; Mammalia; Primates; Cercopithecidae.
GUGCUGUUCGGCUUAUGACGGGUGACAUUCUGAUACACUCAUCCUGAGUUGAAAAAUAUCCGAAUCCAAAAUGUGCAUUUCUUUUUUUUUUUUUGUUUUUUGUUUUUUUUUUUUUUGAGACGGAGUCUCGCUCUGUCGCCCAGGCUGGAGUGCAGUGGCGAUCUUGGCUGCUAGCUCGCUUCUCGGUUCACGCCAUUCUCCUGCCUCAGCCUCCUGAGCAGCUGGGACUACAGGCACCCGCCACGGUGCCCGGCUAAUUUUUUUGUAUUUUUAAUAGAGACGGGGGUUUCACUGUGGUCUCGAUCUCCUGACCUUGUGAUCCGCCCGCUCGGCCUCCCAAAGUGCUGGGAUUACAGGCGUGAGCCACCAGCGCCCGGCCAAAAUGUGCAUUUCUACAAAAAACCAUUAUCCAGACGUGGUGUUCUCUGCCUGUGGUCCCAGCAGCUUGGGAGGCCGUGCGAUGGAUCACCUGAGGUCAGGAGUUCGAGACCGGUCUGGCCAACAUGGUGAAACCCCAUCUCUAUGAAAAAUACAAAAGUUAGCCGGCUGUGGUGGCAGGUGCCUCAAUCCCAGCUACUCGGGAGGCUGAGGCAGGAGAAUCGCUUGAACCCGGGAGGCGGAGAUUGCAGUGAGCCGAGAUCCACUGCACUCCAGCCUGGGCGACAACGAGACUCUGUCUAAAAAUAAAAAUAAAAAAUCAAUGCUCUGUGAAAAUAGAGCUGGGGGACCACGGACCCGCUGGGCACAGAGUCUCAAGCCUCUUAGAGGAAGAUAGAAAAGGGUUUUUCUUUUAGAUCCGCGAGAUUUAAAUAAGAAUGGAGAGAGCACCCAGGAAAGCACAGCUGUGGCUCUGCCGCUCUGCAAAGCCAGCUGGGCAGCCCCGCCAGGAAUUCCGAGGGCCGAAAGGGGCCGUGUCCGCUCCCCCAUCCUGGAAAUAGUCUCAGAGUCUGGGUGGGCGCCGGGGACGAGCUUUCAACAGCUCUCCUGGCCCCAACAUUCCGUCCACACAUUCCACGACCAGGACAGCCGCCCCCUGCCAGGGAUUCACCGGGGGUCACGCCGCGCGGCAGGAAUGCACGCGCCCGAUUUAGACAUCCCGCUUGGCAUCUGCGGUCAGGGCGGCUUGCAGAGGCCCGGGGCGGUUGGAUGCCGGAGAUGCUGGAGCUCUGAGCAAUUAACCAUCCGAGCACCCCAGGUGGCGUGGACUCACGCGGCUCUUCAACCAAAUACCUGCUUCUGGAGUUGCCCUGACUGGCCGUCUGAAAUUCAUGAUAAAAAAUGGAUGAAGGCCUGGUUUUCACAUUGUGGCCGAUGAAUGCUGUCCCAGUCUUGUUCUCCUGUCCGUUUACCGCUGACACAGCCCACAGGCCACAGGGCAUCGGCGUCUUGUGAGGGGUUACAGGGAACGUCUAAGGGAGACACAGGCUGGCCCAGCUGCCUCCCACCCUUCCUGGCCGGGCGUCCUGAGCCAACCGCCUCAGUGGGAGAAAAUCUUCACUCUGAAAACUCUCAGAGCCGCCACCUGCUCCCCGCUCCCGUCUGCCCUGGUUC